GGAGGGUGCGAGCGUUGUUCGGAUUUACUGGGCGUAAAGGGCNNGUAGGCGGCCUUCUAAGUCAGACGUGAAAGCAAGGCUCAACCUUGGAAUGCGAUUCGAAACUGGGAAGCUUGAGUAUCGGAGGGGAAAGUGGAAUUCCCGGUGUAGAGGUGAAAUUCGUAGAUAUCGGGAGGAAUACCGGUGGCGAAGGCGACUUUCUGGACAGAUACUGACGCUCAGGUGCGAAAGCGUGGGGAGCAAACAGGAUUAGAUACCCUGGUAGUCCACGCUGUAAACGAUGUCGAUUUGGAGGUUGUGGGCUUGACCCGUGGCUUCCGGASUAACGCGUUAAAUCGACCGCCU
This 345-nucleotide ribosomal RNA is filed under the name uncultured bacterium. RNAcentral's name for it is "partial 16S ribosomal RNA". It matches the Rfam family "Bacterial small subunit ribosomal RNA", at positions 527 to 874 of the family's 1533-position model. The record is from RNAcentral.